GGAAUUUGCUGGCAUCCAGUUACAGCAGAGUUGAGACAUGAUAGCCUCCGCAAUUACUACUCGCAGGGUGUUGGCGUGAUUGCAAGAGCCAUGAUCGAGUUUGAGAACCCUCAGCUCCCUGCAGCUUUCAGAGAGGCCGUCAGCAUUGUCCAGAGUGAGAAGGAGGAGGAGCAGAGAAAUAUCGCCAUGACUUUCUGCACUGAGUUUCUUCAGAGUGCUUCUAUUGCCACGACAGUGACAAAAUCAGACCUCCGGGCGCAGUUCAUGGAGUAGAUCAAAGACACAAAUCCCAUCAUACGCAGGCUCAGUCUACGGGGCCUUGGCAGUAUUGUGCUUCAGCCAGAAAAAGUGAGAGGCAUGGAUUGUCCGGGGGACCAAGGAAGCCGAUGUCUAUCGAAUAGCUCAGAAAUGAGAGUGAGAUCCCCACACAAGCCUUGCUGUGGAGUUAGAAACUCUGUGACUCCUUCACUCCCUCUGCAGCUGGCCCUGACCCAAGCCUGUUUUCCCACC
Long non-coding RNA from Mauremys reevesii (Reeves's turtle), 510 nucleotides. RefSeq lists it as uncharacterized. The record is from RefSeq and is a predicted model, not a curated record. Lineage: Eukaryota; Metazoa; Chordata; Testudines; Geoemydidae. The transcript is spliced from 3 exons.